RNAcentral lists this ribosomal RNA (479 nucleotides) under uncultured bacterium. RNAcentral describes it as "bacterial SSU rRNA". It matches the Rfam family "Bacterial small subunit ribosomal RNA", at positions 28 to 508 of the family's 1533-position model. The record is from RNAcentral.
GAUGAACGCUGGCGGCGUGCCUAACACAUGCAAGUCGAACGGAGCUGCUUUGAUGAGAUCUUCGGAUGGAUUUAAAACAGCUUAGUGGCGGACGGGUGAGUAACGCGUGGGUAACCUGCCUCACACUGGGGGAUAACAGUUAGAAAUAGCUGCUAAUACCGCAUAAGCGCACGGUUCCGCAUGGAACAGUGUGAAAAACUCCGGUGGUGUGAGAUGGACCCGCGUCUGAUUAGCCAGUUGGCGGGGUAACGGCCCACCAAAGCGACGAUCAGUAGCCGGCCUGAGAGGGUGAACGGCCACAUUGGGACUGAGACACGGCCCAAACUCCUACGGGAGGCAGCAGUGGGGAAUAUUGCACAAUGGGGGAAACCCUGAUGCAGCGACGCCGCGUGAGUGAAGAAGUAUUUCGGUAUGUAAAGCUCUAUCAGCAGGGAAGAAAGUGACGGUACCUGAAUAAGAAGCCCUGGCUAACUACGUGC